CCUAAUUUCCGUGUCCAACUUUUGACCGUCCAUCUUAUUUGAAAAAAUUAUAAAAAAAUUAAAAAGACAAGUUAUGCAUAAAAUAUUAAUCAUGUUUUAUCAUCUAACAACAAUAAAAAUUCAAAUUAUAAAAAAAUUUCAUAUAAGACGGACAGUCAAAGUUGGACACGGAAAUAUAGAGUUUGCCUUUUU
Molecule: microRNA precursor, 192 nt
Filed under: Oryza sativa Japonica Group (Japanese rice)
Lineage: Eukaryota; Viridiplantae; Streptophyta; Magnoliopsida; Poales; Poaceae
Description: MIR812 microRNA precursor family
Rfam family: MIR812 microRNA precursor family
Source: Rfam by way of RNAcentral